CAGCCGCCGCGGUAACACGAAGGGUGCAAGCGUUAAUCGGAAUUACUGGGCGUAAAGCGUGCGUAGGCGGUUUGUUAAGUCUGCUGUGAAAUCCCCGGGCUCAACCUGGGAAUGGCAGUGGAUACUGGCAAGCUAGAGUGUGUCAGAGGAUGGUGGAAUUCCCGGUGUAGCGGUGAAAUGCGUAGAGAUCGGGAGGAACAUCAGUGGCGGAGGCGGCCAUCUGGGACAACACUGACGCUGAGGCACGAAAGCGUGGGGAGCAAACAGGAUUAGAUACCCCAGUAGUCCCUGUCUCUUAUAC
Molecule: ribosomal RNA, 301 nt
Filed under: uncultured bacterium
Lineage: Bacteria
Description: partial 16S ribosomal RNA
Rfam family: Bacterial small subunit ribosomal RNA
Source: RNAcentral